This 667-nucleotide unclassified non-coding RNA is filed under the name Hevea brasiliensis (rubber tree). Lineage: Eukaryota; Viridiplantae; Streptophyta; Magnoliopsida; Malpighiales; Euphorbiaceae. The record is from RNAcentral.
GGGAUGGGAAGAGGUAAAGGAGAGGUAAAAUUGAAGGGUAUAGAAAUAGAAAUAUUAGUAACUGUAUUUUCUCUCUCCUUAUCCCCCUUUAGGCGCUGUUUGGGUGCGGGUGAGAUGAGAGUAAAUGGGUGAGGGUGAAGGAAGAGUAAAUGAGAGUAAGGAGGGUUAAGUAAUUAUUAUACACCUGAUUGAGGAGGAAGAAGAGUUGAGUUAGUAAAAGAUAAGGGUAAGGAUCCUCCCUUACUCCUCAAAUCUCAAGGAGGGGGAGGUGAGAGCUGAAAAUUACUUUAUUUUUUAUUUUUUAUUGUAUUUUUAAUUUUUUAUUAAAAAUUUAAUUAUACUCAUUAAAAAUAAACCUAGCGUACCACUACAAAUAAAUGUUUUCUCUCUCAAGUGGCCAUACAUAGUUUCUCUGCUUUCAAUCAUUUGUUUUUAAAUAGUUUGCUAUAAUUAUUAUACUUCAAUUAUCAUUUUUUUAUUUAUUCUUUCAAUAAUUUGCUUCAAUUAUUAUGCUUCAAUUAUGAUUUUUUUUUUUCUAAAUAAUCUAUUUUUUAUUCAAUCUUUGUUGGAUUUGUGUAUUAUUGUUUUGAUCUAUUAAUUUUAUGAUUAUUUAUAGUGGACCAUUAUUAUUUGCAAAUUUAAGAUUUAUCAUAAUGAGUUUACCAUU